UAGGCCUCGCCUAGAGGAGGGAAAGGCCGUGGCGUCCGCUCCCUCCGCGGCUCAUGGCGACGACGCUUGGCACAUCCGGGACCCUCAGGCCGCUGCAGUCGCGUCGCCGGCUGCUCGGGCCCCAGCCCCGGCCGCUGUGGUGACUCCGCCGCGCCUCGCCGUCGCCCCCGUCCCGCCCGCCGCCCCAGCCGCCAGGGACAUGUCUAACCUCGGAGGCCGUAGGAACGGGCCUGUCGAAGUGCGCCUGACAGGAAUCAUAUUGACAGGUCAUGAAAAUGAGACCAAAAGAUCUCUGGAAGCGAUUAAUGAUAAAAUUUCAUGGAGAAGAAGGCCUUGACUACGGAGGGGUUGCCAGGGUGAUGACAACUCCGUGAGGGUGGAGAUUAUACAUCUCUCAUCAUUUCAGCAACAAGGAAAUAAAUUAGUGGCAGAGUAAGGGUGACUUGUGGGAUUAACUUUGUUUCAAUUCACAGAGAUCUCUUGGAAGCGAGGAUCCUUUAAAAAUCCUGGAAUAUACACUGCAGUAAAAGAACAAAGCAUACCUCAGCCUUAAACGACUGAAGAAGAAUGUCAAGUGGGGAAGUGGCUUUGGUUUUCAGUUUGUGGGUUCUGAAUCCACACAAAGACAGGAUUGCUUUCUGAAAACCUGAAUUAAUUAUUGUCCUUACCUCAAUAAGACAAAAAAUUAGAAUCAAAAUCGUUAGUAUUACAGUCACAGAUAUCACCAAGAUUAGUUUGUUGUUAUAGCCAUAUCCUGGAACUUCUUUCGUGAGCUAAAAAAAAAAAAAAAGAAAAAAGGAAAGAACAAUUAAAAAAAGAGUGAAAGCUAACUUUUCAAAACCCCAGUAUUCUAGUUGAGUAGCUUACAGGUUCUUUUUUUUUUUUUUUUGAGACAGGGUCUCACUCUGUCACCCAGGCUGGAGUACAGUGGUGUGAUCACAGUUCACUGCAGACUCGACCUCCCUGGGCUCAGGUGAUCCUCCCACCUCAGCCUCUAGAGUAGCUGGAAUUAUAGGCACAAGUCACCACACCCAACUAAUUUUUGUAUUUUUUGUGAAGAUAGGGUUUCACUAUAUUGGUCAAGCUGGUCUCAAACUCCUCUGACUUCAAGUGAUCUACCCACCUCGGCCUCCCAAAGUGCUGGGUUUACAGGCGUGAGCUACCAUGCCCAGCCUACAGUUCAUCCUGUGCACUAAUCUGUUUCACUCUCUAAAUGAACAAAGUGGGAGAUCACUGUCAUGGCCAAAGUUACAUGGCCAAGACAAACUAUGGCCUGGGAGUCCCAGGUUCUCCUGUGUGGGCACUUUCCUGGCAUAUGCUAAAUGAUGGGAAAGUCUGGGUCUCAUGUUUCUGUGUGGUCCUCACCUCACUCGACUUCUGCUCUUUCUGUUCACUCUGGGCUUCUGUGCUUUCAUUAAUAUAGUUCUUAGUUUUCCACUGGUCUGUAUCCCAUUCUGCCUUGGACGCCUUUACUUCCUGCUGCUCACUGAGAAGCCUCAUCAGGAGGCCUGUCCUGGAGAUGAGCUUGGCACAGGUCACUUGCACAUAGGUCUCGGAGCAGUCCGUCUUCAAGGUCCAGAUAACAUGAGAAAUGAAGCUUCUCACAUCGUUGUUGGGGAUGACGGACUGUAGUUGAUGGGUUAGCGGAAUUUCAAACUGAUCACCUGGGGAUGAGAGCAAUGGGUAACUGAAGCUUUUGGGCUCGGGGGACAGGUCAGUGCCCACGUUGUUGUAUUCCCAUUUUGUCUCAGUUUGUUUAACAGUUGGCUCUAAGUUGAAUGCAGUCCUAGUGGGAAUCUGCCUCAGGAAGAUGAUUGUAGUUUGUGUUUUCAGAGAUGGUGCCUUCUGGCAUAGUAGUGUUUUCCAUAAAAACGUUUUCUUCAGAGGCAUUUCUUGCAGUUGUGUUUUUUACAGUAGUGUUUUCUAUAAAACAUUCUGAAGGAGCAAAUACUUCUGGAAAAGGGUUUUCUUGAGGACUCAGGUCUCCUGAGGAUGAAAAAGCCCCUUGUGAAGGGGAAUUUAUGAGGCUCUUCACUGCAGAGAACGGCGGCCUCUUUGCGAGCAUCAGUCUAUUGAGAUAACUUUUCUUUCUCAAUUUUCUAAUCUUUUUGGCCUUGGGUGUUCUGUGGGCCACACGGGAGUGAGUUUUAUGAAAGUGGUAUUUUUUUCUGGAAUGUACUACUCGUUUAGCAGCCUUCAUAUUUUUUAACUCUAGCCUUUGCAUUUUCUAAAAUUAAAAUGGUGUAGGCUAAGUCUUUCAAUCUGUCUAUGACCUGAGGUAGGGCUUUUGCAGUUGUGGAAGGCAGAAGGCAUGCCCAUGGAGAAGGGUUUCAGCAAAGAGGAGACUGUUGGCUUCUGCUCUUGGGUGAAUGAAGGCUUGGUGUAGACGGCGUUUCCCGCUACGUUCUCGGGCCCCUGCACUAUGUGAGGCUAUUCCAGCUCCCUUGGGGCUGGACUCCCGAGCCUUUUUUCUUUGGCAGCAUUCUCCCCAAAUGCCUGGGCACCCUGUUCCCUCCUGAUACUCUGCUUUCCCACCGCUUUGAAGGGCCUUUUCUGGAUGCUCCUUGGGCCCAUGAGGACUCUGUUCACUCUCUGCAGGUUUUUGCCUACACUUUGAACCUUUGCCAGGCUGUUUUCCUGUGGUUGGACAGUUUCUAAUUUCUUUUCAAAUAUUUGGCAUUUAAAUUUGUUACCUAGAAGGCUGGACUGCAUAAGCAUGGCAGUUUUUUCUUCCCUUUUAACUUCAUCGAUUUUUUUCUUGUAUUUCUGCAUCUAACAUCUUUUCUAGCAAAUACACCUUUCUCAAUUUAUUUUCAUAAGUUGAAUUGUUGGAUGCAGGUUGAAACAAGGGGCUCUUUGUAUUGUUUUUCAAAACAGGAGCUUAUCUCCAUCUUGCACAUUUGAAAAAAGCAGUUUAAUGAAUGGUAACAACAUUGAUUCCGCAUCUAGAUUUCCUGCUGAGAAAUAAGGCAAGAUGUAAUUUAGCGCAGUGAUAACAUCACUCUUAUCAUAAGUGUCUAGCUGCUCACUCCCAAAGACUGACAAGUUGAUGCCACUGCUGUCUGAGGCUGCCUCCGGCUCAGUAGUCAGCUCAAUGCUCAUGUGCUUCUUCUGGGCUUGUAACACCUUCAUGAACACUCUUUCUGGAUUCCCUACAGAUGCUUCUUCACCUGUCAAAAAAAAGAGACUGCUUUGAUCAUGAAAGAUAAUGGAACGGCAUGCAUCAGUCCACAGCUGUAUGCCCCAGUCACACAAAGUAGGAGUCAGCAAACAUUAGAGUGCCAUUCAGAGAGGAGAAACACACACCCAAGCCUAAAUCUAUGAAAUGGCAACAACAAAAGGAGGAAAAGACAUCUUUUGAAAAUAUGGCUACUUACUUGGAACAUUCCUAGUGUGACAUAGAGUAACUCUGCUUAGGAUUAUUUCGUUGAUCCCCAGGGGCCAAUUGCCCAGUGCUCAGUCAAAGCCCAAGGUGGAAGACAAGUGCUUCCCUGAUGAGCUGUCCUCUCUGCAGACUGCUCCGUACCCUGUGCUGUCCUGCCUCAGAUGCAGAGAGAGCACAAGCCUCCCUCCUCAUCCUCAGUGUGCCUGUGUUCUUACUACCAUCACAGCUGAAUGCAAUGAAAGGCUAUCCUCUGAGAGGAGCAGGGUGGAGAUGCUAAAGUGGAGGCCCCCUCCCAUUGCUGAUAGAUCCUCAUCUGGCAUGCACUCCACCCACCCACCCCAUUCUCUGCUACCACAUAUCGUAGCCCCAUUAAAGAAGAAGUGACAUGGAAAAAACACUGUGCCCACCCUAGUCCUUUUCUUAAAUUUGGGCAGAGAUCCAGGGUAUAGGUUAAGAGAUUUUUAAUUUGCCAGAUGGUAUGCCUAUGUUGUUAAAUAUACAAUGAAUCUAUGGUAUGAUAGCAGUUUCUGGAUAAACAUUACUUGAGGUCCUAAAAUGCAGAAGGGAAAAAGCAGCUUUUGUCAGAUGCUUACUUUGCUUUCAUUUCAUCUCUAAUAUUUUGGAUGGGGAACCAUCCAAAGCUUCUGGCCGCAUGAAGGUCAAGUGUGCCAGUGUGCAGCUGGGUUUCUUUUCCAGAAUUAAAAGUAUUUUGGGUGGUGCUGAGGGUCAGAGGAAGAAGUAAAAAUUGUGAGAAAGGAGAAACAUGGGCUUGGGGAGAACCCAGAAUUGGGGACAGAAGACCUGGCACUAAGCUAUAGCACUUAGCACCUCUGAUCUUGUUUUUCCUCGUCCGUAAAAGGAGAUUAACAAUGCUUUUCUGCCCACCUCUUGGGGAGAAGGGAAUAAUUUAGUUGGUAAAAAAAAAACUUUUGAAUAAUAAGCAACUCUGUCUUUAUAUAAGUAGCCAAGCAUUAUUAAUUAUCCACCCCAUAUCACUGGUAGAUACCUGUAUUCAAGCUAUGUGGACAUAAAAG
This 4419-nucleotide long non-coding RNA is filed under the name Homo sapiens (human). RNAcentral describes it as "non-protein coding lnc-KPNA2-6:13". Lineage: Eukaryota; Metazoa; Chordata; Mammalia; Primates; Hominidae. The record is from RNAcentral.